CUUAUUUACUCCUCUUGAAUUAUUAGUUUGAUUAAUUAAUUGUCAUGCAACUUUCUAAGCCUACCCUUAACCCGAUCCCUCGGUGAAAAGAGCCUAAUAUUAAUUACUGGCUUGCUAUCCCUAGCCUCCCCUAGCAAUUAAUACAGCAUUAUAAGCAGAAGUUAAAAGCAAUUGAUCGUCCUACCCCUAUCUCUAGGUGGUAUUGCAAAAUCAAGGAAUUACUCACCAGUUCAUGACAUUACUGUACGUCCC
Molecule: long non-coding RNA, 252 nt
Filed under: Vigna radiata
Lineage: Eukaryota; Viridiplantae; Streptophyta; Magnoliopsida; Fabales; Fabaceae
Description: long non-coding RNA (VRAD_LNC016642)
Source: RNAcentral